This 468-nucleotide ribosomal RNA is filed under the name uncultured bacterium. RNAcentral describes it as "partial 16S ribosomal RNA". It matches the Rfam family "Bacterial small subunit ribosomal RNA", at positions 28 to 507 of the family's 1533-position model. The record is from RNAcentral.
GACGAACGCUGGCGGCGUGCUUAACACAUGCAAGUCGAACGGAAAGGCCCUGCUCUUGUGGGGUGCUCGAGUGGCGAACGGGUGAGUAACACGUGAGUAACCUGCCCUUGACUUUGGGAUAACUUCAGGAAACUGGGGCUAAUACCGGAUAGGAGCUCCUGCUGCAUGGGGUGGGUUGGAAAGUUUCGGCGGUUGGGGAUGGACUCGCGGCUUAUCAGCUUGUUGGUGGGGUAGGGGCUUACCAAGGCUUUGACGGGUAGCCGGCCUGAGAGGGUGACCGGCGACAUUGGGACUGAGAUACGGCCCAGACUGCUACGGGAGGCAGCAGGGGGGAAUAUUGCACAAUGGGCGGACGCCUGAUGCAGCAACGCCGCGUGCGGGAUGACGGCCUUCGGGUUGUAAACCGCUUUCGCCUGUGACGAAGCGUGAGUGACGGUAAUGGGUAAAGAAGCACCGGCUAACUACGUG